Molecule: non-coding RNA, 470 nt
Organism: Camelina sativa (false flax)
Lineage: Eukaryota; Viridiplantae; Streptophyta; Magnoliopsida; Brassicales; Brassicaceae
Source: RefSeq, a predicted model, not a curated record
UUCAGAUCGGAGAGCUUGCUGGAUUAGCAAUAGGAGCAACGAUUCUACUUAAUGUUCUAAUUGCUGCACCGAUAUCGAGUGCAUCGAUGAAUCCAGCAAGAAGUUUUGGACCUGCAAUGGUGCACGGUUGCUACAAAGGAAUUUGGAUCUACAUAGUCUCACCAAUACUUGGUGCGGUUUCUGGUGCGUGGGUUUAUAACACGGUUAGAUACACCGAUAAACCAUUGAGAGAAAUAACCAAAAGCGGUUCGUUUUUAAAGACCGUGCGAAGCGGUACCUCUUAGUUAAGGAGAACAGAAAAAAGAUGGCUACGUUAAAGAAGUGAUGGGAAUAUUUUGGUAUUUACAAGUGUUUUCAAAAUGAAUUGUAACAACUUUGACCAUACCAUACGUAUAUGAUUCGAUAUAUAUGAUGUAUUAAUUGCUACGUUUUCUCUCUUUUACUUAAUGCGAAAGAUCUAUCUUCAUAUU